Non-coding RNA from Peromyscus maniculatus bairdii (prairie deer mouse), 1150 nucleotides. NCBI's taxonomy places the organism in Eukaryota, Metazoa, Chordata, Mammalia, Rodentia, Cricetidae. The record is from RefSeq and is a predicted model, not a curated record.
AAGAACAGUUGGUUUUGUUGGUAAGAAAUCACAGGUGGAUCUUAAUCUGGAGCUGAGUCUAGCUGGAGAUGCAGACGGUGGAAGACACACACAUCACCCUGAAAUGUGUUCGGGGCCUCAGCUGUCCUCGGGCUCCAAGCUCCACCCACAUCGCCCUCUGUCGGGCAGGGCUGCGUGCCUUGGUGCUCCGCACCUGCCACCGUCUUGCUGGGGGUAACAGUGAUAGCACUGUUUACAUGACCUUAUGUAAAACAUAAUUAACACAGCUUUGCUCACUUAGUAAGUGUUCUACCCAGAAGACUAUGAACUCGGAUAUGUUAUCACUAUGCGGGUUAAGAAUUUAUAAAUAGAUGUAGGAUAUCAUAGUCCCUGCUAUACUGCAGGUAUUCAAUUAAAAAGUAGCUACUGCUUCAACUGUGAUUUCUUCAUAGCCAGCUCUGCGUCGUGAGUCCACAUCUGCCCUCCUGAUUCUCCUCUCCACAUCUGCACACGAUGUCUUUGUCUGUCUGCUCCCUCUCUCCUACUGACACCCUCAGUUUCUCCACACUGAGCUUCUGUUCCUCUGGGAAUCUCUGAUGCAGCUAACUGCUCCGUCCUCCCAAGAUCACAUUUGCUUGUUCUGAAUAACUCUUGCUUUUGUCCCCAGGAUUCUCUGUGCUUGUAAUGCACAACUUGUCAUUCCCCCAUGGAACAGGAGCCACGAGCCCUGUCCUCACUGAAAGGCGGGUCUGAGCAGUGGGACUGGGCUGAAUGCCUAGAGAGCAAGGCUCAUCUUAGAAGCUGCGGCCCCGGGGCCUGUUGCAACCAGGUGACACCUUGUCAAGGGUUCAGGGAUUAGGGACACAAAGGCACAAGUUUGUGGAUGGGACGGUGGUGCUGGCUCACAGAGCACGUGUGCCGCAUGGAAACGGACACCUGACUCACUGAACGUCUCAUUAAUAUGCAGACCCACUCCGGAUACUUCUCCAGUCUGUACCCUCAUCACCAUUUCGGCCCAUUCCCGCAUCAUCACUCCUACCCAGAGCAGGAGACUGUGAAUCUCUUCAUCCCAACCCAGGCUGUGGGUGCUAUCAUCGGGAAAAAGGGGGUGCACAUCAAACAGCUGGCUCGAUUUGCUGGUGCCUCUAUCAAGAAAGCUCAGGCAGAAGGU